AGGGCAACAUUAAAAGGACCUCCAUCAUCUGGUGGUCGAAUUCAAGGAAAAAAGAGAGAAAAAGAAGAAAAAAAAGGGAAAAGAAAAGAGAGGAACCCUAGUUUAUGCAUGGAAAAAUUCUGCAUUCAAUCUAGCUGACUUCUUCCUCCUCUAAGUCUGUUGCGCCAUUAGUGUUAGGGGUCCCUGAUUAGAGUCUUUAGAUCAGAUCUAAAUCCUCUUCAAUCCUUUUAAACCUUUCCUCCAAGUUCUUCCAAGAAGGCGGAUCAAAAGUUGAUAGCGUUGGGAAGAUCAAAUUUCAGCCUCAAGAAAUUCUGCGCAAGCUAGCACUUCCGCAGGAUUGGAUCUCUUCAAGAACUUCGUGUGGACUUCUGUUGCCCAGUAGAUACAACCCAAGAGGGGGGGGGGUGAAUUGGGUCUUUUAAAACUUUUGUACUACUUCUAAAACUUUUCAAUUAAUUAUGCUAAGUUGUAUAGAUGCACAGUGGAAUUUAAACUUAGCAACAGUUUGAUUUAUUGAAUGAGACUUGAUUAAGUAAAUUAAAUAUGCUUGCAACUAAAGGAUGCACGGAUAAGAGUUAAGCAAGCAAUUUAUCUAAAUAAGUAGGUGAGCAAGUUAGACAAUGACAAAAAGCAUCACAAACACAACAAACAUAUAGUGGUUCGGUGCACCCCAGCACCUACAUCCACUCCCCAAGACCUCUUGGGAAUUUCACUAUAAUCCUCCAGAUUACAGUCCGGUAGUUUUGCGAGUGCACUACCCAACUCGUUGUUUUACACCGGGCUAA
This 785-nucleotide long non-coding RNA is filed under the name Phoenix dactylifera (date palm). RNAcentral describes it as "long non-coding RNA (PDAC_LNC011653)". Lineage: Eukaryota; Viridiplantae; Streptophyta; Magnoliopsida; Arecales; Arecaceae. The record is from RNAcentral.